AGUUAGGAAAAACAUGACAAAACAGGAGGCCACUGAGUAAAGCAAAACAACAAAACCCACUUUGAAAUAAUGAAAUCACUCAAGCAGGAAUAAUUGCCUUAAGAAACAGAGACAAAGUAAAAGGGCAAGAGCAAAAAACACUAUGAAAGUAUUCAAAUACUCUUAAAACCCUUACCUCCAGUUAAACAAAUGAUUUGAUUUUAGGACCAAAUUUUAUUUUAUAUUUUUUUUCGGACCAAAUUUUAAACAAUAUUAUUGUUGUCUGCAGAAGCCAUCAAUAACCUAAACCACUAAUGAAAUAUCUCAUUAAAAUGAUUUUGACUUUUUAAAAAAAAGAUUUUAUUACAGAGAGAGAAAGAGCACAAGUAGGGGGAGCUGCAGUCGCAGAGGGAAAAGCUGGCUCCCCACUCAGCAGGGAGCCUGAUGGGGCUCAAUUCCAGAAUUGUUGGAUCAUACCUGAACCAAAGGCAGAUGUUUAACUGACUGAGCCACGCAGGCACCUCUUCUUUACCGCUUUUGAUUUAGUAAUGAUUUCAUGAUUGCUAGACUAUUAUUUAAUAUAAAGUCUCAACUUCUUCAAGUUUCUUCUUUCCCAACAAGUGGUGAAUUAGUUCUUUAUCAUGUGUUUAGGCCUCCUGCUGGAAAGUAUAAUUAAAAUUAAGAAAAAGAAAAAAACAACAAUUCCACUUGGUACUAAGAUCCUGUCAAAUUCUUCAGUGUGAGUCUGGUUUCUCCAGUAGCCAGCUGAGAGUUCUGUAAGAACAUGGGGCUGUUCAACUUGAUGCUGGCCAUUCAGUAGAUGGCACUCUUCCCUUUGAGCCCAAAUUAAACAAGCUCAAAGAAGCAUGUUCUGUGACAGUCAGGUGUGAUACAAAACAGGGUUCUCUCUACAAAGCACUUAACUGAUAGUCACGAUCCCUCCAGAAUUGCAUUCAUCAAAAGCUGAUGGUCCAACCAGACACUUUUUAUAGAGCCCAGUGUAAUUCAAAUUAUAAAACCUCAAACACAAUAAAAUCACCUAACUCAAGUGAUUACCAAGUAAACAGCUUCUCAAAGCCUUCGCUAUGUCAAGCAGAGACACUGUUCUUAUUCAGUCAUUCCAGCAGAUCAAAAGAUGACAGGAUGAGAAUACUGUAUGGAAAAAGGAAAAAGGAAAUGCUGUCCUUGUACAGGAUAACUGAGCCAUUGUGGAAAAACGUCACAGAAACACUGCUGACGGUGACAAAUUAAAGGCAUACACCAAGCCCCAAGAUACUGAAAAACUCAGCACUUCUCCAACCUGAUUGCCUUCUACAUUGUUCAAAUUCCAGCUCCCCUAGCAGCUAUUACCAACAUGCCAGCAUUUGAGGUCAGUUUUAAGAGUGACCUCUUUGGCCAGGGCGCCUGGGUGGCUCCCAGUCAGUCUUCUGAAGCCCAGAUUAGGACAUACCAAGCAUUAUGUAGAGGCACUUCACUCCAAGAAAAGCAACCGUUCUCAUACUGACUGCUAAAUCUGAAAUGUUGGGAUCCCUGGGUGGCGCAGCGGUUUGGCGCCUGCCUUUGGCUCAGGGCGCAAUCCUGGAGACUCGGGAUCGAAUCCCACGUCGGGCUCCCGGUGCAUGGAGCCUG
Long non-coding RNA from Canis lupus familiaris (dog), 1608 nucleotides. RefSeq lists it as uncharacterized. Lineage: Eukaryota; Metazoa; Chordata; Mammalia; Carnivora; Canidae. The transcript is spliced from 4 exons. The record is from RefSeq and is a predicted model, not a curated record.